CACGUAGGGACCAAGCGUUGUCCGGAUUCAUUGGGCGUAAAGAGCUCGUAGGCGGUUCAGUAAGUCGGGUGUGAAACCUCCAGGCUCAACCUGGAGACGCCACCCGAUACUGCUGUGACUAGAGUCCAGUAGGGGAGCGUGGAAUUCCUGGUGUAGCGGUGAAAUGCGCAGAUAUCAGGAGGAACACCAGCGGCGAAGGCGGCGCUCUGGGCUGGAACUGACGCUGAGGAGCGAAAGCGUGGGUAGCAAACAGG
This 254-nucleotide ribosomal RNA is filed under the name uncultured bacterium. Its description in RNAcentral is "partial 16S ribosomal RNA". It matches the Rfam family "Bacterial small subunit ribosomal RNA", at positions 524 to 776 of the family's 1533-position model. The record is from RNAcentral.